GAAUUUCUGCUUCAAACUGGAAAUAAACUCUGCUAAAUCUGUCUUUUGGAGGAGCUCAUUGAGAAUAAGCUUGAUGGGUUUAUCAUCCCUCUGUUACAAGGGAAUAUCCUGAAGCUUUUCAAUGCUUAUUUUGUGUGUGUGUGCGCGCGCAUGUGUUUAUGCAUGAGCACAUGCGUGCGUGUUAAAGGUAACUAUGGAUGCAAGAGUAGUUUCUUAUUUAUGGUGUUUUCACUUAACCAAGGCAUAAGCUAUCAGACUGGACAACUCAAGCUGAAAAAUUCCCCAGCCAUAAUUACUUUAAUUUCAAGGAGGUGUACACGGCGCCUAGGUAGUGCAAUAUAGACAUCACUGGUUUUUGUUCCUAUUAAUAUGGCUAUGGCAAAACAUUGUAGUAAGUGGUUGUUAUGUUGAAUGGAGGGACCCGAAUGUGGAGAAGAGGGGCUAACCUUGAAGGUUCUAUGUCUUCAUUUUUACAGAUUCAAGGUUCAAUUCCACUCCUUUGGGAGCAAAUUGUUGAUUUGAGCUAUAAACCACGACUUAAUAUUAUUGAUCAUGAGCAAACAGUAUGUAUUUUCUUCUGGAUACAGCUCUUUAUGUUUAAGUUGUGUAAUGAUGAGCAUCUAACUGUGUUUUUCUUCCUUUAGUCAAAGGUUGUGGAGCGCCAUUUUCAUGAUAUUAUAGAAAGAUACGGAGAGACCGUAAAAGUUGACCUAACCGAUAAGGUAAGACUUUCCAGCACCACACUAGGACAUUAACCUGGGGCGUAGUUUCAAUAUGAUUUUCUUGCUGGAAGUGGAGAAAUCCAGGUAGCAAAUAAGAAUGUUGUUCUUUGAAGUCUAUUUUUUUAGACUUUCAAUAUGAUCAACUUUUUGUUUCUUCUUCAACCACCAUUAUCACGUGCAAUUAGGAAGGAUAAGAUUUUCCGGGCUCGCUGAAAUUUGAGAGAUAGAUUGAAUCAUAGCAGCUUUUCAUUUUUUAUGGAAAAUCUAUGCAUAUUACAUAUCAUUUUCACAUGCUCUGUUUCUAAAUGAAAACAUCAU
Camellia sinensis is the source of this 1040-nucleotide non-coding RNA. The record is from RefSeq and is a predicted model, not a curated record. Lineage: Eukaryota; Viridiplantae; Streptophyta; Magnoliopsida; Ericales; Theaceae.